Molecule: long non-coding RNA, 1908 nt
Organism: Pecten maximus
Lineage: Eukaryota; Metazoa; Mollusca; Bivalvia; Pectinida; Pectinidae
Exons: 2
Source: RefSeq, a predicted model, not a curated record
GAUUAAUGUCAUGCUUUAUAUAAUUUGUAUGUAUAUAUUUUAUUGACUUGUGUUAUUUAUUUAUUUGUGCCCAUAUUGUUCAGUGUGUGUGUGUAACAGAAGAGGUGUUUGUGUGUUAUAGAUUACAGGGAGUGAUUAUUGCUGACUUACCUGUAUGUCUAUUUUUAAGUUACCUUACCUGUAUAGUUAUAUUUUUAUACAUCACAUGACGUACAUGUGAUAGGUUUCUAUACUUUUUAUUGGUCAAGAUAUUAUAAUAGCCUUUGGUCAGUUUGGCGGGAAUCUCUUUGUAAGGAAGUUAGUUCUCUACAGUCUGCCAAACUGAUCAGACCUAUACAUAUAUUGAGUCGGACAUUUGUGACAAAGGACCGAAAGACAGAGAAUUUAUAGGUAAGUUAUGGUUCUAGUGAAUUAUUACUGUUUCAAUGUAUUGUAUCUAACUAGCUUAUAUUGUAGAUUUGCUAUGAACUUUAUAAGUUUGGCAUUUAAGUUAAAUUAUUAUCUUUAUUCAAAAUCUCUAUUUUGAAUUGUAACUUUGUAUAUACAGAGUAGUAUUUUUCAGUAAUAUAUAUAUAUAAGUGAGUAAUGGUUAAAUUAAUCUAUUAUAUAUGUACAGAUCUGCAGUAUUAUUAGAAAGAACUGUUUUUAUGCAUUUUUUAGAUUGUCAUAAGAAACAUGGAAUACUGGUGAUGAUAUGAGGUUGAAACGGCUCUGUGCCAUACACAGGUGAAUACCUUUUUAGUGUAUUGUAAUAUUGUGUAACUUAUUAUGGGAGAAUCCAGUUUGUUUAUAUAUGUUGAUACAAAUCUCUUUAUAGGUGAUUUGUACUAGAGUAGAUCUUUCGUCUCAAAGAUAAAUUUCAUGUUAAAUGUAUAUGAUCUAUAUUUAUUGUAAUUUCAAUAAGAUAGUUGUAAAGAUAAUUAUUACAAAGUUAAUAUCUUAGUUAAAUGUAAUUACAUGUGUCCAGAUAGCUUAUAUUUCGUGUUUAGCAUAACUAGUGUGAUUCGCUAGUUAUCUCCCUUGAUUGUAUCUUGCAAUGUAUGUGCUUUGUGUAAUUUUAGUCUUUUAUGUUUGUUACAGAGUGUAGGUGUUUUAACCUACUGAACUUGUCAAAAUAAAGAACUCACGACAAACAAAUCAUGUCCAAGUGGUUAUUUGAUAUCCCCGGUUACAUGUGGAGCCCCCAGUGAGGAAUAUUCAUCGACAGUACAAGCGUCACCGACUGUGUUUCAGACAGUGUGUUUCACGUGUGUAUAUUCAAGCGUCCAUAGGACGGAGACUCAAUUUAUGUCAUUCUUGCUGAGAUGUGCUGCCCUGCUUGAUCCAAUCACUUUAGUGAUUCAGACUUUCCAAUAUGGCGGCAUAUUGUGUGUUUUGAAAUUCUAUGGAUAGUUAUUUUGGAAAUUUUGGCGUUUCCAGCUGAAGAACAAGAUUGUCAUAAGAAACAUGGAAUACUGGUGAUGAUAUGAGGUUGAAACGGCUCUGUGCCAUACACAGGUGAAUACCUUUUUAGUGUAUUGUAAUAUUGUGUAACUUAUUAUGGGAGAAUCCAGUUUGUUUAUAUAUGUUGAUACAAAUCUCUUUAUAGGUGAUUUGUACUAGAGUAGAUCUUUCGUCUCAAAGAUAAAUUUCAUGUUAAAUGUAUAUGAUCUAUAUUUAUUGUAAUUUCAAUAAGAUAGUUGUAAAGAUAAUUAUUACAAAGUUAAUAUCUUAGUUAAAUGUAAUUACAUGUGUCCAGAUAGCUUAUAUUUCGUGUUUAGCAUAACUAGUGUGAUUCGCUAGUUAUCUCCCUUGAUUGUAUCUUGCAAUGUAUGUGCUUUGUGUAAUUUUAGUCUUUUAUGUUUGUUACAGAGUGUAGGUGUUUUAACCUACUGAACUUGUCAAAAUAAAGAACUCACGACAAACAAA